RNAcentral lists this ribosomal RNA (497 nucleotides) under uncultured bacterium. RNAcentral's name for it is "bacterial SSU rRNA". It matches the Rfam family "Bacterial small subunit ribosomal RNA", at positions 28 to 536 of the family's 1533-position model. The record is from RNAcentral.
GAUGAACGCUGGCGGCGUGCCUCAAACAUGCAAGUCGAGCGAGGCUAUGAAUUACCGCAAGGUAAGGCAUAGCCUAGCGGCGAACGGGUGAGUAACACGUGGGUAACCUACCUGGAAGACAGGGAUAACGAUUCGAAAGGGUCGCUAAUACCUGAUAAUAUCCAUCUGCCGGAUGGCGGAGGGAAGAAAGGGGAAACCCGCUUUCAGAUGGGCCCGCGUCCCAUCAGCUAGUUGGUAAGGUAAAGGCUUACCAAGGCGACGACGGGUAGCCGGUCUGAGAGGAUGUACGGCCACACUGGGACUGAGAUACGGCCCAGACUCCUACGGGAGGCAGCAGUUGGGAAUCUUAGGCAAUGGACGAAAGUCUGACCUAGCGACGCCGCGUGAGGGAAGAAGGCCUCGGUUGUAACUCUGUCAUGGGGAAGAAGGAAGUGACGGUACCCAACGAGGAAGCCCUGCUAACUACGUGCCAGCAGCCGCGGUAAGUCAUACUCGUA